This 492-nucleotide ribosomal RNA is filed under the name uncultured bacterium. RNAcentral's name for it is "partial 16S ribosomal RNA". It matches the Rfam family "Bacterial small subunit ribosomal RNA", at positions 29 to 507 of the family's 1533-position model. The record is from RNAcentral.
AGUGAACGCUGGCGGUAGGCCUAACACAUGCAAGUCGAACGGCAGCACAGUAAGAGCUUGCUCUUACGGGUGGCGAGUGGCGGACGGGUGAGGAAUACAUAGGAAUCUACUUUUUCGUGGGGGAUAACGUAGGGAAACUUACGCUAAUACCGCAUACGACCUACGGGUGGAAGCAGGGGAUCUUCGGCCCUUGCGCGAUUGAAUGAGCCGAUGUCGGAUUAGCUAGUUGGCUGGGUAAAGGCCCACCAAGGCGACGAUCCGUAGCUGGUCUGAGAGGAUGAUCAGCCACACUGGAACUGAGACACGGUCCAGACUCCUACGGGAGGCAGCAGUGGGGAAUAUUGGACAAUGGGCGCAAGCCUGAUCCAGCCAUACCGCGUGGGUGAAGAAGGCCUUCGGGUUGUAAAGCCCUUUUGUUGGGAAAGAAAAGCAGCAGGUUAAUACCCCGCUGUUCUGACGGUACCCAAAGAAUAAGCACCGGCUAACUUCGUG